RNAcentral lists this ribosomal RNA (135 nucleotides) under Triticum aestivum (bread wheat). RNAcentral describes it as "partial small subunit ribosomal RNA". The record is from RNAcentral. Lineage: Eukaryota; Viridiplantae; Streptophyta; Magnoliopsida; Poales; Poaceae.
AUGCAUAGACAGUCCUCGAAAGAAAAUGAGUUCGAUCAGCAACACCGGUCUCCGCAGCACCAGGAUAAAGACCUUCUUUUUACCCAUAACCUUUCUCUGCAGCAUUGGAACCAAGAUCGGGCUUGGCAUAGUUAA